RNAcentral lists this ribosomal RNA (2918 nucleotides) under Acinetobacter baumannii ATCC 19606 = CIP 70.34 = JCM 6841. RNAcentral describes it as "bacterial LSU rRNA". It matches the Rfam family "Bacterial large subunit ribosomal RNA". Lineage: Bacteria; Pseudomonadati; Pseudomonadota; Gammaproteobacteria; Moraxellales; Moraxellaceae. The record is from RNAcentral.
GUUGUAUAGUCAAGUAAUUAAGUGCAUGUGGUGGAUGCCUUGGCAGUCAGAGGCGAUGAAAGACGUGAUAGCCUGCGAAAAGCUCCGGGGAGGCGGCAAAUAUCCUUUGAUCCGGAGAUGUCUGAAUGGGGGAACCCACCUACUUUAAGGUAGGUAUUGCAACAUGAAUACAUAGUGUUGCAAGGCGAACGAGGGGAAGUGAAACAUCUCAGUACCCUUAGGAAAAGAAAUCAAUUGAGAUUCCCUCAGUAGCGGCGAGCGAACGGGGAUCAGCCCAUUAAGUUAUGUGUGUUUUAGUGGAACGCUCUGGGAAGUGCGAACGUAGAGGGUGAUAUUCCCGUACACGAAAGGGCACACAUAAUGAUGACGAGUAGGGCGAGGCACGUGAAACCUUGUCUGAAUAUGGGGGGACCAUCCUCCAAGGCUAAAUACUCCUGACUGACCGAUAGUGAACCAGUACCGUGAGGGAAAGGCGAAAAGAACCCCUGUGAGGGGAGUGAAAUAGAUCCUGAAACCGCAUGCAUACAAGCAGUGGGAGCACCUUUGUGGUGUGACUGCGUACCUUUUGUAUAAUGGGUCAGCGACUUAUAUUCAGUAGCGAGGUUAACCGUAUAGGGGAGCCGUAGAGAAAUCGAGUCUUAAUAGGGCGUUUAGUUGCUGGGUAUAGACCCGAAACCAGGCGAUCUAUCCAUGAGCAGGUUGAAGGUUGGGUAACACUAACUGGAGGACCGAACCCACUGUCGUUGAAAAGCCAGGGGAUGACUUGUGGAUAGGGGUGAAAGGCUAAUCAAGCCUGGUGAUAGCUGGUUCUCCCCGAAAGCUAUUUAGGUAGCGCCUCGGACGAAUACCAUAGGGGGUAGAGCACUGUUUCGGCUAGGGGGUCAUCCCGACUUACCAAACCGAUGCAAACUCCGAAUACCUAUGAGUACUAUCCGGGAGACAGACUGCGGGUGCUAACGUCCGUAGUCAAGAGGAAAACAAUCCAGACCGCCAGCUAAGGCCCCAAAAUCAUAGUUAAGUGGGAAACGAUGUGGGAAGGCAUAGACAGCUAGGAGGUUGGCUUAGAAGCAGCCACCCUUUAAAGAAAGCGUAAUAGCUCACUAGUCGAGUCGGCCUGCGCGGAAGAUGUAACGGGGCUAAAACUAUGUGCCGAAGCUGCGGAUGUAUACUUUGUAUACGUGGUAGGGGAGCGUUCUGUAAGCCGAUGAAGGUGUGUUGAGAAGCAUGCUGGAGGUAUCAGAAGUGCGAAUGCUGACGUGAGUAACGACAAAACGGGUGAAAAACCCGUUCGCCGAAAGACCAAGGGUUCCAGUCCAACGUUAAUCGGGGCUGGGUGAGUCGACCCCUAAGGCGAGGCCGAAAGGCGUAGUCGAUGGGAAAAUGGUUAAUAUUCCAUUACUUCUGUGUAAUGCGAUGAGAGGACGGAGAAGGCUAAAUCAGCCUGGCGUUGGUUGUCCAGGUGAAAGGAUGUAGGCAUGUAUCUUAGGCAAAUCCGGGGUACUCUAUGCUGAGAUCUGAUAGCAAGCUGUACUUGUACAGCGAAGUGGUUGAUGCCAUGCUUCCAGGAAAAGUCUCUAAGCUUCAGUUACACAGGAAUCGUACCCGAAACCGACACAGGUGGUCAGGUCGAGUAGACCAAGGCGCUUGAGAGAACUCUGCUGAAGGAACUAGGCAAAAUGGUACCGUAACUUCGGGAGAAGGUACGCUGUUGUUGGUGAUGGAACUCGCUUCCUGAGCUGACGACAGCCGCAGAAACCAGGCCGCUGCAACUGUUUAUUAAAAACAUAGCACUCUGCAAACACGAAAGUGGACGUAUAGGGUGUGAUGCCUGCCCGGUGCUGGAAGGUUAAUUGAUGGGGUUAGCGUAAGCGAAGCUCUUGAUCGAAGCCCCAGUAAACGGCGGCCGUAACUAUAACGGUCCUAAGGUAGCGAAAUUCCUUGUCGGGUAAGUUCCGACCUGCACGAAUGGCAUAAUGAUGGCGGCGCUGUCUCCAGCAGAGGCUCAGUGAAAUCGAAAUCGCUGUGAAGAUGCAGUGUACCCGCGGCUAGACGGAAAGACCCCGUGAACCUUUACUGCAGCUUGACACUGAACUUUGACCUUACUUGUGUAGGAUAGGUGGGAGGCUUUGAAGCUGGAACGCUAGUUCCAGUGGAGCCGUCCUUGAAAUACCACCCUGGUAAUGUUGAGGUUCUAACUCUGUCCCGUGAUCCGGGACGAGGACCGUGUCUGGUGGGUAGUUUGACUGGGGCGGUCUCCUCCUAAAGAGUAACGGAGGAGUACGAAGGUGCGCUCAGCGUGGUCGGAAAUCACGCGUAGAGUAUAAAGGCAAAAGCGCGCUUAACUGCGAGACCCACAAGUCGAGCAGGUACGAAAGUAGGUCUUAGUGAUCCGGUGGUUCUGUAUGGAAGGGCCAUCGCUCAACGGAUAAAAGGUACUCUGGGGAUAACAGGCUGAUACCGCCCAAGAGUUCAUAUCGACGGCGGUGUUUGGCACCUCGAUGUCGGCUCAUCUCAUCCUGGGGCUGAAGCAGGUCCCAAGGGUAUGGCUGUUCGCCAUUUAAAGAGGUACGCGAGAUGGGUUUAGAACGUCGUGAGACAGUUCGGUCCCUAUCUACCGUGGGCGCUGGAAAUUUGAGAGGAUCUGCUCCUAGUACGAGAGGACCAGAGUGGACGAACCUCUGGUGUACCGGUUGUGACGCCAGUCGCAUCGCCGGGUAGCUAUGUUCGGAAGGGAUAACCGCUGAAAGCAUCUAAGCGGGAAGCCUACCUCAAGAUAAGAUUUCCCUAGGACUUUAUGUCCUCUAAAGAGCCGUUCGAGACUAGGACGUUGAUAGGUUGGAUGUGGAAGCAUAGUGAUAUGUGAAGCUGACCAAUACUAAUUGCUCGUGAGGCUUGACUAUACAACACCCAAGCAGUUG